This 688-nucleotide ribosomal RNA is filed under the name Austrothaumalea sp. 1 SRM-2010. Its description in RNAcentral is "eukaryotic LSU rRNA". The stretch from base 396 to 688 matches the Rfam family "Eukaryotic large subunit ribosomal RNA", at positions 665 to 900 of the family's 3401-position model. Lineage: Eukaryota; Metazoa; Arthropoda; Insecta; Diptera; Thaumaleidae. The record is from RNAcentral.
AGGUGACUAAAUUUCAGAAAAGGGAAAUUCAAUUUUACUUAUAGUCUUUUGUUAGACUAGGUAUUAUGCACUUUUCCCUUAGUAUGACAUUGCGAUCCAUUAGAAUACAUCUAAUGCAUAUAAAAUGCUUGAGAUAUAAUUGUUUGUCAAUUGGGUUCUGUAUGGAGUUUACACAUUUUAAUACAAGUACAAUAUUUUCUAAGGUGUUAUAUUGGAAAGUAGUGUAAACAUACUUGGAUACCUUGUACAAAUAUCUGAUGGUUGUAUAUGAUCACAUUUUGACAGUAUUCAUUUGCUGUUUGUAUAAUAAUUUUAUACAGAUACAUUUGAAAUGUUUGACAUGAUCAGCAAUGAUAAUAUGUUUAGUAAGCCUCCGGACCCGUCUUGAAACACGGACCAAGAAGUUUAACUUAUGCACAAGUCAAUGAGUUAUAUAAAAAUAUAUAAACUUAUGGGCGUUAUUAACGUAACCUAUUAUAUGGAAAUACGAUGUUCAUAUAUGAAUAUCCUUCAUUCCCAGGUAUCUGUUAAUCUAAGAUUAUAUUAAAUCAUUUAUGGUAUAAUAUGCUUAGUAUGAUAUACUGUGAGUGCAUAAGAUAUGACCCGAAAGAUGGUGAACUAUGCCUGAUCAGGUUGAAGUCAGGGGAAACCCUGAUGGAGGACCGAAUCAGUUCUGACGUGCAAAUCG